Molecule: ribosomal RNA, 404 nt
Filed under: uncultured Hyphomicrobiales bacterium
Lineage: Bacteria; Pseudomonadati; Pseudomonadota; Alphaproteobacteria; Hyphomicrobiales
Description: bacterial SSU rRNA
Rfam family: Bacterial small subunit ribosomal RNA
Source: RNAcentral
UAGGGAAUAUUGCGCAAUGGGGGAAACCCUGACGCAGCCAUGCCGCGUGAGUGACGAAGGCCUUAGGGUUGUAAAGCUCUUUCGCCAGGGAAGAUAAUGACGGUACCUGGUAAAGAAGCUCCGGCUAACUCCGUGCCAGCAGCCGCGGUAAUACGGAGGGGGCUAGCGUUGUUCGGAAUCACUGGGCGUAAAGGGUAUGUAGGCGGACGAAUCAGUUGGGGGUGAAAGCCCGGAGCUCAACUCCGGAACUGCCCUCAAUACUAUUCGUCUUGAGUUCGUGAGAGGUCAGUGGAAUUCCGAGUGUAGAGGUGAAAUUCGUAGAUAUUCGGAAGAACACCAGUGGCGAAGGCGACUGACUGGCACGAUACUGACGCUAAGGUACGAAAGCGUGGGGAGCAAACAGG